Molecule: long non-coding RNA, 807 nt
Organism: Oryzias melastigma (Indian medaka)
Lineage: Eukaryota; Metazoa; Chordata; Actinopteri; Beloniformes; Adrianichthyidae
Exons: 3
Source: RefSeq, a predicted model, not a curated record
UUUAAAUGAUGAGUUUGGAAAGCGGAACCUUCGACACUCUUGGAGCGCCUCCAGGUGGCUGAAGACGGGGCAACUUCCUGUUUCCGUCAGAAGUGCUUUGGAGAAUGAAGAGAAUGCUCUUGUCGUUCCUGCUCUGAGACUUAUUUUCUUUUUUUCAGUCAGACUGAGAGUCACGGGAAGAAUGGCGGCCCAUCUCGGUGGUCAGCGCCCCGAACAGCAAGUUGUGGAAAACAUGGCGCAGGCCGUAGUGUCUGCUCUUGCAAGGGAAAUUAGUGGCAAUCUACCAACCUCUACAACAUCAACUCCCACUGUUGGCCACAGUACCACUGCAAACACUUCUCGACCUUCAACCACAACAGUUAAUUAAGCUUUAAAAAGGUAAGCUUUAGUCUAGAUUCUGACAAUGUUCUUCCUCUCAUGACUAUGCUGUUGGGCUUGAUAAUGUUAUUUUAUGGAUCACAUGUUUUGUUUAAAGACUUUUUGGGAAAAUUUAGCCCCCUCCUCCCCCAAUGCAUUGUUUGUAAUUCUAAUGAUCAGUUAUUUAAUCGUACCCACAAUCCACCAUCUUGUUUUGCAAGGACAUUUUACAACUUAAUUUUACUUGAGCUUUUAAUUCAGGCCAGCUCUACAAUUUAAUGUCAGUGUUACAGCCCAGACGGGCAAACCCGUGUAAAGUCUAGGGCACUUGUCACAGUCGAGGCCCAAAUCUGGCCUUCCAGAUCAUUUUAUUUUAUUGUUAUUAAUGGCCCUCUGUUAUUUUUUGUUUUUUUUUCUAACUUGUAUAAGUUUGACAAAAUAUAUUUUAAU